UUCUAGUGACUUGGCGCAUUUCUCGUGCUUUGGCGCAUUUUUCGUGCCUUGGCGCAAUUCUCGUUUCUUGGCGCAUUUCUGAUGCCUUGGCGCAUUUUUCGUGCCUUGACGCAUUUCUUGUGCCAUGGCGCAUUUCUCGUGCAUUGGCGCAUUUCUGGUGCCUUG
Non-coding RNA from Caenorhabditis elegans, 165 nucleotides. Lineage: Eukaryota; Metazoa; Nematoda; Chromadorea; Rhabditida; Rhabditidae. The record is from Ensembl.